This 63-nucleotide transfer RNA is filed under the name Metanephrops thomsoni. Its description in RNAcentral is "tRNA-Arg". The record is from RNAcentral. Lineage: Eukaryota; Metazoa; Arthropoda; Malacostraca; Decapoda; Nephropidae.
AAUUAGAAAGCGAAAUAUCGCACUUAGUUUCGGCCUAGGCUUUGGUUUUUUUACCUCUAAUUU